RNAcentral lists this small nucleolar RNA (87 nucleotides) under Setaria italica (foxtail millet). RNAcentral's name for it is "small nucleolar RNA snoR114". It matches the Rfam family "small nucleolar RNA snoR114". Lineage: Eukaryota; Viridiplantae; Streptophyta; Magnoliopsida; Poales; Poaceae. The record is from Rfam by way of RNAcentral. RNAcentral also lists the same sequence under 1 other name.
GAGCAAUGAUUAAAUCCUGUGCUAAUGUGACUGGUUGGGUCCGUCACAACUGACUGAUCUCUUGAUUAGCUCAGCACGCAUGAGCUC